Cyprinus carpio carpio is the source of this 2379-nucleotide long non-coding RNA. NCBI's taxonomy places the organism in Eukaryota, Metazoa, Chordata, Actinopteri, Cypriniformes, Cyprinidae. The record is from Ensembl.
GGACGUUUCUGUUUGUCCUCCAAGGUCCUCAUAAACUAUGUAACCGAGUAGAGAGGAAUCAGAUAUACCCACUGAGCGGCGCUAUAGCCCAUGAAAAUGAUGUUUGUUAGAGAGCGCGCGGGAAAGAUCCAAGGUGACAGGAGAGCGAGGCACUUCACUGCUGCCACAGAUAAAGAACUGCAUCUGCCACCCCAUGAAAUUCAGUGUCAUCAGCCACCGUGAUUAAAAUUUGGCACCUUGGACCACAUUGUCUUCAUUUGGAAAUAUUUCAGCUGCAUUUGUGCCACUCGGAGUGGAGAAAGAGAUAAAGGAGGAGAAGGGGAAAAACACACCCUGUUGUGUGAAUCCUAGAAAGGCCUUGAACCCUGCCAUUCAUCCUAUUCACUUCAUCAGCUGAGUCUAAUUGCUAGAGAGGACAGGAGACCCAAGGCCUGAUUGUUCCUUAUCCUCUUUGGAGUCUUCUGAGGCAUGAAAAGCGAAAGGCCUGCUUUUGAUCUUUUUUUUCUCUUCUCUCUCCUCUCCUCUUCUGGUUUUCUUUCUCUGCUCUGUCAUCCCCUGCUAUCCUUUCCCUCCGAAUGACAUUCUCCUUUCACACCCUUGCCCUCUUCUCCAUCCACGCAAAAUAAUUAUCAAGCUCUGCUUCAUCAAAUAAUGCUGGAGAUAGGAGGUCACGACAGGGAGGGCCAGAGGUCUGGAGGGGCAGCCCUGAACUGUGGAGAAGCUCCUAGCUCAUCUUAGCGGCAUGCUCCUUAGCUCAGGGCACCUUUAUGUACCUUGACCCCAGUUUUCGUUUGCCUCUCUUAAUGAGACCCUCUUACACAGCCAACGUGGUCCUGGCCCUGCCCUGUUAGGGGGCUCCGUGGUUGGGAGGCCAAAGUACAAUAAGACACAGAGGCCACGCUAAGACAAGGGCGCAUCUGUGCUGUCUUAUUAAGGCCUGAAGAAGAGCUCAUGCUUCUCAAAGUCCCACAGGCUCAGAGACUAGAUCUAUUGACACCUACUUGUCCUCGGUGGUCAACGCCUUUCACUGGAGGGCCAGCCUACGCACACAAGUUCUUAUUAGAAGUAAUUUCAGGCAGCUUAUUUAGAGAGCCAAGUGCUUAACUUGCUUUAGGUGACCAUGCAGGCCACAGUAGAAGUGGGUGAAUUUGGCGCAAAAAUUCUUUAGACUCAAAAGAUGACAAAGGAUGUCAAAGGCCAACCCUGUCAGGGGAUGAAAAUAGUUCUUCAGAUGAAGAAUUGUGCACAGCAACCAAAGAGAAAGAAGAGAUAUAAAGGGUGUGGUGUUGCCUCUUUAUGUUGAGAGCAGCAAACGUGAUGACUCCCAGACGGGGAGACAUGGCAAACCCUAAUAAUACCAACCCAUACAAUGGCUCUGACAGCCCGGCUAUAAAGCAAUCAGGGUCCCAGGCAUUCCAAAUCUCUUUAACGCCCACCCUACAGCAGUCUGGAAGAUGGGUGGCUGACCUGAGAGCUGUCAAUCACGCUGCUGUACCUGCUGGAGCUUGGGCAGAGUAGAGCCGGGAGCAUGCGGUCCAUCAGAUCUGUUUUCACACUCCCCACACUAUCACUGCAAGCGUAACCAAAAAGACAAAAAACGCCCCACUGCCCUACUCUUAAUUAGGGAGUGUGGAUAAGACUGAGGUUUGUUUGGUUUUAAAUGGAGAAUGGGAGGGCAAAACAUACAGGGGAGCGCCGAAUCCCAUGGAGACAGAGAAUAACCUUUUCCCUUGAUUUUGGAAUAAGGCAUUGAUUUGUCAUGCUGUUUUAUACAGGCGAGAGCUCUCCCAGUGGUGCGCUACAAGCUUGGAAGGAGGCAAAGAGACAUCUAUGCAGAGAAAAGGAGAAAUGUUAAGGGUCUUCUCAUCUGAAACUCAACUGGCUGAAAAGCUUCUCGGCUACUUUUCUUUUUUCACCCAUCUACCUUUCGACCAAAGCAGGUCCCUAGCGGUGUCUCUCACAUGCUGUACGUCUGAUCAUGUGCAGCUGGAUGGAAGGUUCCACAUGUACUUGGCCUCACCCUGAGGAACUGCGGGUCGGGGUGUCAAGGUGCAGCAGACCAUCCAAUGCUUCACGACUCGUUCUGGCCUGUUUGGAAGCCGAGCUGUGCUGAUCUAAGAGUUUCAUCCAAAUUAUGUAUUUCCCAUGUGUGUGCUAUAGCACAUAAACUCAGUGUUUUUAGGGGGCUGGUGCGAUGUGUUUUCCAGGCCUUUGUGCACUGUGCAUAGAUAAAGUAUAUGGUUUUUGGUAGGAAUUAAAACAGACUACCAAACUAUUUAAUUAAAAAAGUUUAUAACCAAAACAAUAUACACUACUGUUCAAAAGUUUGGAGUUGGUAAGAUUGUUUUUUGAAAUAAGUCACAUUUAAUAUUGAGAAAC